Molecule: long non-coding RNA, 2525 nt
Filed under: Malus domestica (apple)
Lineage: Eukaryota; Viridiplantae; Streptophyta; Magnoliopsida; Rosales; Rosaceae
Description: long non-coding RNA (MDOM_LNC011923)
Source: RNAcentral
AAUUUGUUGUUGGUAAACAAGAGCUACUGGACUAUUAUGCACAGGGGAAUGGAAGGAAAGAAAAAAUUCAAGCUUUUAAUACAAAUUGGAAAUUGAGAGACACUAAACAAACGAUAGGUAAAAUUGACCACUACUUUCUUUCCGUUUAAAUAUAAAUCAAUUGAUUAAGUCUGUGUUUUAAAAUGAAGUUUCAAUUGUUUUCAAAUUCUAAUAACGAUCUCCUACGCUUUAAGAUAAUCUAUUUAGAGUUUUGAUCCACUUUUAAUUACACAGAAUUUCAAUUUUUUUUCAUAUAAAGUUUCCAUUUUGCUUGAGUAAGAGAAGAAGCUUUAAUUUGGGUUUACAAUUUUUCCCUUUGUAGAUUUUCAAAGUAGGACCAAGCUUUAAAAAGGCACUUCAGGUUCUGGAAUUAUUAUUAUUAUUAUUAUUAUUUAUUUUUUGUUAAGCUUUGUUAUAUCAGGUUCUAAAUUGCGCAUACCAUUUCUUUAAAUUAGAGAAAAUUAAGCACGAUCUUGCUUAUAUACAUAUUGUUAUUUUAAGAAACAAUUUUGUUUGUCUUUUCUAUAAUAAGAACAGCAAUUUACUUUUGGGUUUCGUUCUUAACUGAUUUAUGAAUUUAUGCCCAAGUCUAAUCUACUCCAAAGACAGGCUGAGCAAAAGGAGGAACGUUUAAGCAGGUAUGUGUACUAUGUGUUUUAUUCGUUCUUAACUUCAUUGUUGGUUUCUGUACUAUUUUUCUGUGUCUAAAAAUUUGAAAUAAAUAUGAUCUAUUCACUAUUGAUUCUCAUUCCAAGUUUUUUCCACAGAAAAUAAAAUAACAAAUAAAUAUUUUGUUUCCCUUCUUCUACUUUGUUCUUUUGCAGCAAAACAAGCAUGAUUUUGUUGGUACUGCUUAUUUAGGGAAGCAACGGUUUCAUAUUGUGAACUGUUUUGCGUGUUUAUCACUUUAUUCUUUAUGGUUUCAAUUUCCUAAAUGAAGUUUGACAUGUAUGGAAUUUCACAAUUUACAACCAUAAACUUCAUUUCUCCCACGGACCUUUUUUGUUCCUUAUUGUUGAUAGAGUUGUAAAUAAAUUUGCACAUGUAUGUAAAUAGUAUUGUCUACUGUAUAUACAUAUAUAAUUUUUUUAGAAUAUCUAUGUGUUAUACAAUUUUCAUUCCCGCAGCAACGCGCGGGCAUCCUUGCUAGUCUUGUCUAUAGCCGAAACUUUGUUUUGCUUGUGUAAUCUUAACUUCCUGGACAAUGCUAAACCGUAAACAUUGUUCAGUUUAAUAAGAAAUAAAAUUGCAGAAUAUGUGUUUUGAAGCACCUAAAACCAGGUGAUGGAUACCUUUUCAAUGAAAAAAAGGCAACCUUUUGAAGCAAAGCAUGAUGGUUCUAUCCUUUUUUUUUUCUUGACAAACAAUAGUGUUGCUAGGUUCAAUUGUUAGUGUUCGGGAGGAGGUGAUGCGUAGAGAUCGAACCCGCACCAAGGUGCAUAGGCAUGAUUGUUUUCCGCCACUGCGGUCAAGUGUCAUCUGAAACAUUUAUAUCCUUUAAAGCUUUCUAGUUAGGAAUAACACCUAUAUUUUUCCUUACAAGCAGGUGAUGGAUACCUUUCAAAUGAAACAAUGGCAACCCUUUUGAAGCAAAGCAUAACAUUUCUAUAAUAGCUGACACUUGUCAAGCUUAGAUAUAAUGAGUUAGUUAGUAUUGUUGUGAUAAGAAGUGGUAGUUGAAGGGUAUUUUGUAAUAGUAUAGAAGAUGAAAAUACUAUAGAACCUAAAAUGUAGUGCUCUAAGAGGAAGUAUAUUGUUGAUAAAGAAAUACAAUAAGCCUUUCUCUUUCUCUCUCUCUCUCUCUUUCUUCCUUAAUUCGAUAUCAUCUCUUAGUUCCAUAGUUCUUCCAUUGUUGCUAGUAUUUUGUUUCCUCAGAGAUUAAUAUGGUAUCAUCGCCGGUGUUUGGCUUGCUGCUGUAGUCGGUCUUGAAGGUUCUUCCGCUGCAAUCAUUGAAAGAUCUGGGUUAUCGUUGCCUAAGAGGGUUUCUCGAAGAUUUGUUUUUGAUCUGGGUUUUGCGAUGCGUUCUUGGUGAAUCUGCUAUUCUUAGGUGAUAUCUAAUUGGUUCUUGAGAUAAAGUUCUAUUGCGAUUUCUAUGAUUGAUCUAUGAGUAAUUGAUUUGUUGAAGUAAUAUGAUGUGUUUGAUGAUGAUUGUAUUUGUGGUGAAGUUUGGGAAUUUUUCUUCUGAUGGAUGAGUUCUGUGUUCUAGAUUGUAAUUGUGUUCAAUAAUUUUGUUGAAUCUUGUGUGUUCCAGAAAGUAUCAGUCUUUCUUGGUAGAGUUUGUGUGAUUUCAAGAAAGUAUCAAUCUUUCUUAGGUGUUGGGCUAAUUCAAGAAAGUACCAGUCUUUCUUGUUCAAACAGAAAGUAUAUGUCUUUCUUUCUUGUUGAUAAAAUUUGAAGAGUGUCAAUCUCUUGGUAAACAGAAGAAAUCAAAGAGUGUCAAUCUCUUGGUGAAUGAUAGAAAUCGAAGAGUGUCAAUCUCUUGGUGA